AGAGUUUGAUCAUGGCUCAGAUUGAACGCUAGCGGGAUGCCUUACACAUGCAAGUCGAACGGCAGCACGGACUUCGGUCUGGUGGCGAGUGGCGAACGGGUGAGUAAUGUAUCGGAACGUGCCCAGUAGCGGGGGAUAACUACGCGAAAGCGUAGCUAAUACCGCAUACGCCCUACAGGGGGAAAGCAGGGGAUCGCAAGACCUUGCACUAUUGGAGCGGCCGAUAUCGGAUUAGCUAGUUGGUGGGGUAACGGCUCACCAAGGCGACGAUCCGUAGCUGGUUUGAGAGGACGACCAGCCACACUGGACUGAGACACGGCCCANACUCCUACGGGAGGCAGCAGUGGGGAAUUUUGGACAAUGGGGGAAACCCUGAUCCAGCCAUCCCGCGUGUGCNAUGAAGGCCUUCGGGUUGNAAAGCACUUUUGGCAGGAAANAAACGUCAUGGGUUAAUACCCCGGGAAANUGACNGUNCCUNGAAAANUAGNCCGGUUUANNUACGUNCCANCAGCCGNGGUAAUACGUNGGNUGCAAGCNUUAAUCGAAAUUCUGGCANAAAGCNUCCNCAGGCGUUUCNAAAANAAAGAUGUAAACCCCAGAGCUUAUNUUNGGAACUGUUUUUUU
Molecule: ribosomal RNA, 624 nt
Filed under: uncultured beta proteobacterium
Lineage: Bacteria; Pseudomonadati; Pseudomonadota; Betaproteobacteria
Description: partial 16S ribosomal RNA
Rfam family: Bacterial small subunit ribosomal RNA
Source: RNAcentral